CCAACGGGUAGAGCCGGGCGACUCUGCGGGACGUGCCAUCGACAAGAUGGAGGAAGGUGGGGAUGACGUCAAGUCAUCAUGGCCCUUACGGCCUGGGCUACACACGUGCUACAAUGGUCGGUACAAAGGGUUGCCAAGCCGCGAGGUGGAGCUAAUCCCAUAAAACCGAUCGUAGUCCGGAUCGCAGUCUGCAACUCGACUGCGUGAAGUCGGAAUCGCUAGUAAUCGUGAAUCAGAAUGUCACGGUGAAUACGUUCCCGGGCCUU
Molecule: ribosomal RNA, 266 nt
Filed under: uncultured Synergistaceae bacterium
Lineage: Bacteria; Thermotogati; Synergistota; Synergistia; Synergistales; Synergistaceae
Description: partial 16S ribosomal RNA
Rfam family: Bacterial small subunit ribosomal RNA
Source: RNAcentral